AAGACUCACCCAGGCAGAACGAUCUAGGUCUCAGAAGCCUCAGCUGGAGUUCUGGACCAACUGUCGCAGGGAACAAUGAAGUUUCUGGCAGCUAUCUGUCUGCUCGCCACGACCGCGAGUGCACAGGUUGGGUAUUCAGGGAUUGUUAGUCCUGAUGGAAACAACGUCCAGUUCACGCAUGACUUUGCUCAUAGCAUUGUGCUCAGUGGACCUUCUGGCAUCGUGACAAGUGAUGGUAAGAACCUCCAGCUGACCGGAGGCCAGGCUGCCCUCCACGCUGCCUCCCCACCGGCACCUCAGCCUGUGCCUCAGCUUGUUAUUUCCCGCAGCGUCGUUGGUCCCUCAGGAAUCGUGAGUCCUGCCGGAAAUGUUCAGUUCACUCAAGAGAUGGUUGACGACAACGUAUUGGUUGGUCCCUCCGGCAUUGUGACCAAGAGCGGCCAAAACAUCCAGUUCAACGACCAAGGGCUUCCUCGCACCAAGCGCAGCGCCGGCUACGUCUUGCCCGCGGGCAACCUGGGUCAUUCUGGCAUCGUUAGGGCCGACGGCACCUUUGAACAGUUCAGCCACGACUUCGCUCACGAUAUUGUGGUUAUUGGACCUUCCGGCUUCGUGACCAAGAGCGGAAAGAACAUCCAGCUAAAUGCUGACCUCCACAGAGUCAAGCGUGACCUUAGGGGUCCCUCUGGCAUGAUCCUUAAGGACGGCACUCAGGUGCAGUUCAAGACCGGCGAAACCACCGUCGUUCUUGAUGGCCCAUCUGGACUGGUUCUCAGCGACGGUACAUUGGUGCAGAGACGUGCAAAGCGUGACCUUGUGGGUCCCUCUGGCAUGAUCCUUGAUGACGGCACUCAGGUGCAGUUCAAGGAGGGCUUUGCCACUGUCGUAUUGGAUGGUCCCUCUGGAAUGCUGCUCAGCGACGGCACUCUGGUGCAAAAGCGUGCCAAGCGUAACCUCGUUGGACCCUCUGGCAUGAUCACCGCUGACGGCACCCCUAUCCAGUUCCCCGCCCACGCUGAGGCCGUCGUCACUGGCCCAUCUGGCAUUGUCUUCUCCAACGGACAGAACGUUCAGCUUCCUUAGAAAGACCACCGCAUAUGCACCAGGACUCUAGUCUAUACAUUCUUCCUGCUGACUUCUCUGCAUUUUUGACAAACGUUAGUUAUUCAUUACGAUGUACAGGUAAAAGAUUCCCGUAUAUAUAUAUAUACGAAUAAAUGUAACUGAAGCCGU
This 1233-nucleotide unclassified non-coding RNA is filed under the name Portunus trituberculatus (swimming crab). RNAcentral's name for it is "uncharacterized LOC123506609, transcript variant X2". The record is from RNAcentral. Lineage: Eukaryota; Metazoa; Arthropoda; Malacostraca; Decapoda; Portunidae.